ACGGCAGCACAGAGAAGCUUGCUUCUUGGGUGGCGAGUGGCGAACGGGUGAGUAACAUAUCGGAACGUACCGAGUAGUGGGGGAUAACUGAUCGAAAGAUCAGCUAAUACCGCAUACGUCUUGAGAGAGAAAGCAGGGGACUUUCGGGCCUUGCGCUAUUCGAGCGGCCGAUAUCUGAUUAGCUAGUUGGUGGGGUAAAGGCCUACCAAGGCGACGAUCAGUAGCGGGUCUGAGAGGAUGAUCCGCCACACUGGGACUGAGACACGGCC
Molecule: ribosomal RNA, 269 nt
Filed under: Neisseria meningitidis
Lineage: Bacteria; Pseudomonadati; Pseudomonadota; Betaproteobacteria; Neisseriales; Neisseriaceae
Description: partial 16S ribosomal RNA
Rfam family: Bacterial small subunit ribosomal RNA
Source: RNAcentral